UGUGGGACUUUUAAAGUUAUUUAGAUCUUGGGGAUGAAUAAGAAAGUAAGGUUUGAAGCUUAAUGAUGAUGUAUUUGUGUCAAACUGACAAGGGGUUUUGUGCAGGAUAUUUUUUGUGCAUGAUGUUUUGUGCAGGAAGAGAAACCCUGACUAAGACACACUGGCUACUAGGAACCCUGUUUCAAAGCAAAACAAAACUUAACAGAUGCAGAGGCACUCGUGCCUGGACUGGCAGAAGGUAAGCUACAGCUCGUUACUAUUAAGAAGCACACUAUGGGUGGAAAUUUAAGAUGCUAAAGAAACCUGAAACAGAGAACUGAAUGCCGAACUACAGGUAACAGCAUGUGUUAUAACCCCCGUUACCUGACAUAGCCUCCAACUCUGUACAGCACAGAGUCUGAGCGGCUCUAGUCUUGCUGGGUCCUUGGAAGCAUAUGUGUUCUUCCUUAGUAUGUUAUCUCUGUCUAUGAUAAAUUCUUCCUUUGGGGACCCAAGAACUCGAACCCUUUCUGGAAAUGUCCACAGAACCCCCAUAUCAGCCAAUAUCAAUAGGAAAUCUUUAGUUUCCGGUAAUUUGAGAAGAACCUGUAGAAGAGAAAGCCAGGAGGGAGCUACUAGUUCUAUGAACCACUCUAUCAUCCCCUGGCCCACCAGGGUUCUUUCGUAGGGCAGUCUAGAAGCAUGGCCGGCGGCGUGAGGCUAGAAAGGCUGGCAUCGCUUGCUCCUGGUUCCAUGGUAUCAUUCUGACCUAUAUUCAGGUGGUUCCUCCUGCUUUUCUUUUCUGGACACUGGAAAUGCGAGUCCGUGUGAAGAAGACUCAGAGGACAAGUGAGCCCCGAGCAUAAUCUGCUGUGUUGGAUUCCUUGGAACACCACCAGACGGUAUGAUGGCAGGAACCUGGCCAGAGAGAGGAAGCGAAGCAGAAGCGGCAGGGAAUGUUGAGUCAUGGAUGAGCCACGGGUGAGCCUUGGGUGAGCCACGGGUGAGCCUUGGGUGAGCCUCCGGUGAGCCUCGGGUGAGCCACAGGUGAGUGUGACAAGACUUCUUGGGAGAGAGGCUUCAGUGAGCAGCUCCUCUAAUUGGUGGUGGUGGGGACAAUGACUAUUUAAACCUUUUUGGGGAGAUGGGAUGGGGUAGAGGGGUGAGUAGGGGCUAUGGGGUGAGUGUAUAUCCUUGGUUUGAGCAGGUACUGCGGAUGCCUCAUUUGCAUAACCAGGUGCUCGCUGCAUGUGACCUUAUAAGGAGAAAGGAAGUUCAACUUGUAACUUGGAGACCAGGUUAUAUGACUAAGGCCUCCAGAUUAAAGCCGAAACAGAAGUAAACCCGAAUCAGAACCCGAUAUGGACAAGACAAAAGACUACAGUGAGGCCGUACUUACAGAUGGGAAAAAAACCAGGGUCUCUGGUAAAUCCUGGAGGAGCCCACAAACGUAAGGGUCUAUGAUUCAUUGAAGAGCGACACCCCAACUCAAAUGCUGUGCAAAUGCAAAGAGUGUUUUAUUCUGCAGACGUCCAGCAUGCUGGGGUCUCCCAUUACCAAGACAGAGAGACACCCAAGUAAGCUUGCAGGCCUGGUUUAAAGCACAUUAGAGAAUUCCAGGGCAGGUGGCCUUUGCCUCACUCUAUCUCUAUGGACAUCCCGUUUCCUGAGUGUGGGGGCUGGCUAGAAACUGUGGACCCGUUGUCCUUGCCUCAAGCCAGGCGGUGGGGCAGUUUCUAAUGGCAGAGCAGUUUCUGACUGGCUGCCUGUAGCCUGGGUUUUUAAGCCCUUAUCUCUCGAACUGUCCAUUUGAAGUCUGUCAUGGAGUCAGCCUGUCUCAUCAGUUAUGUAAACCAUCCAGGAGAGUGAGCUCUCAAAGAGUGGUGACCAGGAGAAAGGAAUGGGAAUAUUGCCGUCCAUGUUUAAGUUUGGAGAGAUGAAAUCGUGCUAGAGGUAGAUGGCAGGGGUGACUGUGUAACAGGGAUGUACUCACUACCUCGAAGUGGAGAUGUGGUUGAAUGGUUCAGAUUUUACUGCAAUUAAAAAAUGUUAGAUGCUGGGGCUGGGGAUUUAGCUCAGCGGUAGAGCGCUUACCUAGGAAGCG
Molecule: small RNA, 2083 nt
Filed under: Rattus norvegicus (Norway rat)
Lineage: Eukaryota; Metazoa; Chordata; Mammalia; Rodentia; Muridae
Description: uncharacterized LOC102552091
Source: RNAcentral